This 253-nucleotide ribosomal RNA is filed under the name uncultured bacterium. Its description in RNAcentral is "partial 16S ribosomal RNA". It matches the Rfam family "Bacterial small subunit ribosomal RNA", at positions 524 to 776 of the family's 1533-position model. The record is from RNAcentral.
UACAGAGGUCUCAAGCGUUGUUCGGAUUCAUUGGGCGUAAAGGGUGCGUAGGCGGCGGGGUAAGUCAGGUGUGAAAUCUCGGAGCUCAACUCCGAAACUGCACUUGAUACUGCCUUGCUCGAGUACUGGAGAGGAGAUUGGAAUUUACGGUGUAGCAGUGAAAUGCGUAGAUAUCGUAAGGAAGACCAGUGGCGAAGGCGAAUCUCUGGACAGUUACUGACACUGAGGCACGAAGGCCAGGGGAGCAAACGGG